GACAGAGGUGGCAAGCGUUGUUCGGAUUUACUGGGCUUAAAGGGCGUGUAGGCGUCCUGAUAAGUCAGAUGUGGAAGCCUUGGGCUCAACCCAAGAAGUGCAUUUGAUACUGUCAGGAUUGAGUCGUUCAUGGGAGGGCGGAAUUCCUGGUGUAGCGGUGAAAUGCGUAGAUAUCAGGAGGAAGGCCGGUGGCGAAGGUGGCCCUCUAGGAAAUGACUGACGCUGAGGCGCGAAAGCGUGGGUAGCAAACAGG
RNAcentral lists this ribosomal RNA (253 nucleotides) under uncultured bacterium. RNAcentral describes it as "partial 16S ribosomal RNA". It matches the Rfam family "Bacterial small subunit ribosomal RNA", at positions 524 to 776 of the family's 1533-position model. The record is from RNAcentral.